AGAGUUUGAUCAUGGCUCAGGAUGAACGCUGGCGGCGUGCCUAAUACAUGCAAGUCGAACGAGGUGCUUUUGUAGCAAUACGAGAGUAUCCUAGUGGCGAACGGGUGAGUAACGCGUUGGUGACCUGCCCCAAAGUGUGGGAUAACAGUCCGAAAGGACUGCUAGUACCGCAUGUGGUCAUCGGGUUUAGAAACCGAUGUCUAAAGCAGUAAUGCGCUUUGGGAGGGGCCUGCGUCCCAUCAGCUAGUUGGUGAGGUAACGGCUCACCAAGGCUACGACGGGUAGGGGACCUGAGAGGGUGGCCCCCCMCAAUGGAACUGAAACACGGUCCAUACACCUACGGGUGGCAGCAGUAGGGAAUAUUGCACAAUGGGCGAAAGCCUGAUGCAGCAACGCCGCGUGUGCGAUGAAGGCCUUCGGGUCGUAAAGCACUUUUCUGAGAGAUGAGAAAGGACAGUAUCUCAGGAAUAAGUCUCGGCUAACUACGUGCCAGCCGCCGCGGUAAUACA
This 509-nucleotide ribosomal RNA is filed under the name uncultured Longilinea sp. Its description in RNAcentral is "bacterial SSU rRNA". It matches the Rfam family "Bacterial small subunit ribosomal RNA", at positions 8 to 527 of the family's 1533-position model. Lineage: Bacteria; Bacillati; Chloroflexota; Anaerolineae; Anaerolineales; Anaerolineaceae. The record is from RNAcentral.